CUUCGCGGCAUUUUGAGUGGGUUUUCCUUCAGUAACAGCGCUGUGGCAGGGGCUGAAUAUUCUCUGGUUUAGGGUCGAGGGAAGGCGGCUUUAAGACCCUGUAGAAUUCUUCACCGGCUGGUCCGUUCCGUUUCACUGACCGCGUUUUGGAUUUAGCCCAAUCAGUGUCGCUAAAUGCAAACCACGUGAUUACUGUUCAUCCAGCCACACACAACAUGGAAGCCGCAUGAGGGAACACGUGAUCAACCAGGCAAGUCGUCAUUAUUGUUUGGAAUGCAGGGUAAGAUUCAGCACAGGUUCCAGCACUAUCAAGGGC
Molecule: long non-coding RNA, 316 nt
Organism: Clarias gariepinus (North African catfish)
Lineage: Eukaryota; Metazoa; Chordata; Actinopteri; Siluriformes; Clariidae
Exons: 3
Source: RefSeq, a predicted model, not a curated record